Molecule: non-coding RNA, 1731 nt
Organism: Paramuricea clavata
Lineage: Eukaryota; Metazoa; Cnidaria; Anthozoa; Malacalcyonacea; Plexauridae
Source: the annotation of a GenBank genome assembly
UUAAAAUAGAAAGUUAUCAUUUGUUUUUUAUUAGACAUGAAUCCGUAAUUGAAUUGUGAUGAAUACAGAUAUGUCGGCUGACCAAAAUCCAACGAAUCUAAAUUUAUAUAAUUGCCAAAAUGUUAUCAUUGGUGAUAACAACAAAGUUAACUUACAAAGUGAUGAGGUGCAAGGUAUGUUUACGAUUUUCACAGAAUUGUGACAUAAAAAACUCAAUAAAUAAGAUUUAUUAUAUUAGACAUGUAUACGUGUAAUGUUAAAAUAGUUCAAUUAUAGUAAAAGGAGGAUCAAUAAUAAAAAAUACAUGUCCACUGUGUAUGUAAAAAUACAAACAUACCAAAACUACUUUUUCAGGAGAGGAUUUGUGAGGGGAGGGGGGAGCUUGUUAGCCAUUGUUUGCCAAGUUCAAUAUCCAUCUACAAAAGUCUCGCAUCUUGUCAACAAGAUGUGUUCACAACAGCCUUGAAGUUGUCACAAUGAUGUUAGUUGGUCAAGUUGCUACAAGAUUGUCGCUCUCAACUUGUUGACAAAUUGUUAAAUUACAGGACGAUAACAAGUUGUUGAAACAGCUUGUAAUAAGGCUGUUGAAUCCACAAUCUUGUAACAAGUUGUUUAGCAAGCCGUUGACAACUUGUCAACAAGAUGGGGACAAACAGUACGAACAAAUCCCGAGAACGAGUUGUUCAAAUAGGUGACCUCUGCAGGCAUAUUGUAUUUCACCUGGGUUGCUUUUAAUUUUUUUUGCUUGAAACCAAUCACUGGUCAGUGGUGCCUGCACUGUGUUUGCACCAAACCAAAUAUAAAUAUUGAUUCGCUGUGUAGGCGAGAAUUACAUAGUAAACAUAGUCAUAGUUCCAUAACGUUUUGUAUAUAGUAUAAGUAUGUUAACGCAUGCUAUUGUAGAUUUGCAUGUUAUUUUGUAACAUAUAUGUAUUGAAGUUGAAAUUUAUAAUGCAGGACCCCACCGAAAAACACUUCGGUGACGUAUGUAUCCUGGAUAAAUAUAAAUAUAAUAAUAAUUCUAGGGCUUGUUUCAAACGUCGCGCUUCUCAUGUGCGGAACGCAUUAAAAACAAUAGAUAAUCAGCUGAAAUGCCUCAUUAUCUAUUGUUUCCAAUGCGUUCGGCACAUGAGAAGCGCGACGUUUGAAACAGGUCUAAUAAGACGCUUUUGAUUAAAUGUUCUCACGCAACAUUAAAUUAGCAGCACAGGACACUGUUGAGGAAAAUGUUUUCAUUUGUCUUGUAAUUGCCAUUGUUAUAUGCGGUAUUUGUUUAUUUGGUAAUGUACAUGCACUUGGCCGAUGUAUACGGUGGCUCACGAGGGACAUCACAUAAAAUUAAAGAUCAAACACAAAUAAAUUAAAAAUAUAAAAUAAAUUAAUAAAAGUCAUACGCUUUCUUUUUUGUGUGCGUUCAUCUUCAUUUUUGUUAUGUGUGUGUCCCAUAUUUUUCUUUACAUAUUCCUUUUUUUUAAUUUGCACGUACAGUUUAAUAGUUUUAUUUGUGAUGGUUCUUUAAAUAUGAUUUUAUUUUUGUAUUUAUUUGUGUUCUUCUAUUUUUAUGCAGUGUCUCUUGUGAACCAUGGUAUACAUGGACAUUUCUUAGCACUUUCUAUUGAAUAUUUAUGUUAUUUCAGUGAUGCAUUGUUUUAUUGUCAAAGUUGUUUUAUUUAACUUCUUUAAUAUUUAGAAAAUCUUCCUGCAAAAGAUGACCAAAAACCUGAAAAGGUA